This 497-nucleotide ribosomal RNA is filed under the name uncultured bacterium. RNAcentral's name for it is "partial 16S ribosomal RNA". It matches the Rfam family "Bacterial small subunit ribosomal RNA", at positions 28 to 507 of the family's 1533-position model. The record is from RNAcentral.
GAUGAACGCUGGCGGCGUGCCUAAUACAUGCAAGUCGAGCGAACGGACGAGAAGCUUGCUUCUCUGAUGUUAGCGGCGGACGGGUGAGUAACACGUGGAUAACCUACCUAUAAGACUGGGAUAACUUCGGGAAACCGGAGCUAGUACCGGAUAAUAUUUUGAACCGCAUGGUUCAAAAGUGAAAGACGGUCUUGCUGUCACUUAUAGAUGGAUCCGCGCUGCAUUAGCUAGUUGGUAAGGUAACGGCUUACCAAGGCAACGAUGCAUAGCCGACCUGAGAGGGUGAUCGGCCACACUGGAACUGAGACACGGUCCAGACUCCUACGGGAGGCAGCAGUAGGGAAUCUUCCGCAAUGGGCGAAAGCCUGACGGAGCAACGCCGCGUGAGUGAUGAAGGUCUUCGGAUCGUAAAACUCUGUUAUUAGGGAAGAACAUAUGUGUAAGUAACUGUGCACAUCUUGACGGCACCUAAUCAGAAAGCCACGGCUAACUACGUG